Molecule: ribosomal RNA, 497 nt
Filed under: uncultured bacterium
Lineage: Bacteria
Description: partial 16S ribosomal RNA
Rfam family: Bacterial small subunit ribosomal RNA
Source: RNAcentral
GAUGAACGCUGGCGGCGUGCCUAAUACAUGCAAGUCGAGCGAACGGACGAGAAGCUUGCUUCUCUGAUGUUAGCGGCGGACGGGUGAGUAACACGUGGAUAACCUACCUAUAAGACUGGGAUAACUUCGGGAAACCGGAGCUAAUACCGGAUAAUAUUUUGAACCGCAUGGUUCAAAAGUGAAAGACGGUCUUGCUGUCACUUAUAGAUGGAUCCGCGCUGCAUUAGCUAGUUGGUAAGGUAACGGCUUACCAAGGCAACGAUGCAUAGCCGACCUGAGAGGGUGGUCGGCCACACGAGAAGUGGGACACGGUCCAGGCUCCUGCGGGAGGCAGCAGUCGGGAAUGUUACGCAAUGGGCGAAAGCCUGACGGAGCGACGCCGCGUGAGUGAUAAAGGUCUUCGGAGCGUAAAACUCUGUUAUUAGGGAAGAACAUAUGUGUACGUAAAUGUGCACAUCUUGACGGUACCUAAUCAGAAAGCCACGGCUAACUACGUG